RNAcentral lists this ribosomal RNA (396 nucleotides) under uncultured beta proteobacterium. RNAcentral describes it as "bacterial SSU rRNA". It matches the Rfam family "Bacterial small subunit ribosomal RNA", at positions 9 to 409 of the family's 1533-position model. Lineage: Bacteria; Pseudomonadati; Pseudomonadota; Betaproteobacteria. The record is from RNAcentral.
GAGUUUGAUCUUGGCUCAGAUUGAACGCUGGCGGCAUGCUUUACACAUGCAAGUCGAACGGGGUGCGGGGCAACCUCGCAUUCAGUGGCGAACGGGUGAGUAAUGCAUCGGAACGUGUCCGGGAGUGGGGGAUAACGCCGCGAAAGCGGCGCUAAUACCGCAUAUGCUCUACGGAGGAAAGGGGGGACCCGCGAGGGCCUCUCGCUUGCGGAGCGGCCGAUGUCCGAUUAGGUGGUUGGUGGGGUAAUGGCCUACCAAGCCGACGAUCGGUAGCUGGUCUGAGAGGAUGAUCAGCCACACUGGGACUGAGACACGGCCCAGACUCCUACGGGAGGCAGCAGUGGGGAAUUUUGGACAAUGGGGGCAACCCUGAUCCAGCCAUGCCGCGUGCGGGAA